This 189-nucleotide unclassified non-coding RNA is filed under the name uncultured Trechispora. RNAcentral's name for it is "sequence contains ITS1". The record is from RNAcentral. Lineage: Eukaryota; Fungi; Basidiomycota; Agaricomycetes; Polyporales; Polyporaceae.
ACGCAUCUCUGGCGGCGAGGGCGUGCCCUGCUCCGGACCGAAAGGCCGUGCAGCGGGCCCGCCCGGACUGCUAAACCUUUGCAAACCCACUGUGCACUUUUGUCGGCAAAGGGCCCUCGUGGCCCCGAGCCGGAUCGCAAACACUUUGUCAAACGAAUGCAAGCGGACAUUGAGCCGCCUAAACUUUAA